CCCAGCCAGGCAAGUGGGACCGCUCUGCUCAUCAGCUUCAUGCCCCCCACCCCCUCCGCCCCCAAGAGACUGGAGCAGGUGGAAGAGCUACAAUAAAUAAUGUCAAACAGAAAUGGACUGAAGCCAUAAAGAAGGGGAUCAUUUCAUUUAUUCAGAGCUGGAGAGGAGGCAAGAUGUUGGCAUAGCUGUUGAACUAAGAACCUGCUAUGCCAACAUAUUGCCAUCUUUCUUGUCUAUCAGCAACCACGCCAGGGUUAAGGACUAAGAAUGAAGGGAAGAGAGUUGCUUCUAAUAGAAGACAUGGAUUCUGACUUGGAGUUGGAGGUAGUACUGGAAACAUCAUUUAGUCACCCUACAUGUGAGUAGCAGGAUAAUUUUUUUUUCUUAAUUGAAUGAGCUUCCUGGUUUAAAUUUGAAAUUCUAAAUCUAGAGAUCCCAGAGAAAAUCUGGACUUUUUUCUUUGUACCCAACACUUAGACCAGUGUCUGGCACAUUUUAAGCACUUAAUAAAUGCCUGCUGAUUUAGUAGAUGAAUUACUUU
Molecule: long non-coding RNA, 541 nt
Filed under: Vombatus ursinus (common wombat)
Lineage: Eukaryota; Metazoa; Chordata; Mammalia; Diprotodontia; Vombatidae
Description: lncRNA (ENSVURG00010006760.1)
Rfam family: mir-31 microRNA precursor family (bases 156-235)
Source: RNAcentral